Long non-coding RNA from Rhagoletis zephyria (snowberry fruit fly), 118 nucleotides. RefSeq lists it as uncharacterized. The record is from RefSeq and is a predicted model, not a curated record. Lineage: Eukaryota; Metazoa; Arthropoda; Insecta; Diptera; Tephritidae.
UACUACCUGCCACAACGUCGAAUUNUCAGUGAAUGGGCCCUAGAAAAGUUGGCAGAAAAUCCGCUUUUUUAUCGACAAAUUUUGUUCAGCGAUGAGGCUCAUUUCUGGUUGAAUGGCU